This 446-nucleotide ribosomal RNA is filed under the name uncultured bacterium. RNAcentral's name for it is "bacterial SSU rRNA". It matches the Rfam family "Bacterial small subunit ribosomal RNA", at positions 29 to 521 of the family's 1533-position model. The record is from RNAcentral.
AGCGAACGCUGGCGGCAGGCCUAACACAUACAAGUCGAGCGCCCAGCAAUGGGAGCGGCAGACGGGAUAGUAACACGUGGGAACGUACCUUUCAGUUCGGAACAACCCAGGGAAACUUGGGCUAAUACCGAAUACGUCCGUAAGGAGAAAGAUUUAUCGCUGAAAGAUCGGCCCGCGUCUGAUUAGCUAGUUGGUGAGGUAAUGGCUCACCAAGGCGACGAUCAGUAGCUGGCUGAGAGGAUGAUCAGCAUCACUGGGACUGAGACACGGCCCAGACUCCUACGGGAGGCAGCAGUGGGGAAUAUUGGACAAUGGGCGCAAGCCUGAUCCAGCCAUGCCGCGUGGAUGAUGAAGGCCUUAGGGUUGUAAAGUCCUUUUCGGCGGGGGAAGAUAAUGACGGUACCCGCAGAAGAAGCCCCGGCUAACUUCGUGCCAGCCGCCGCUGU